ACAAGUCACGCUGUCUCUGAGAGGUAUGGGGACAGGGGCGCAGAGGAAGAAUGAUCGCGAGUCCUCAGCCCUGUUUGGCUGACGGGGGACAGGGAUGGGUGGGAAAGAGGUACAGCGUUUUUCCACCUUCCCCACCCAUCACCCCUGAGAUUCCAAAUGAACAUCGGGACCAACCCCGGGAGCCCAGCGGAUGUUCAGGGUAGGGCAAAGAACAGGUGCCAAGUUUGCUCCCUGGGGUGUGAGACUGGGCAGCCUCAAGAGCUGCAUUGGUAGGACUUUCACCAGGUAGACAGCAGGCACCUCGCCCCUGCAGAUCACAGCUUCCAGGGCCACCUGUCCACAGAAUCCCUUCACUGAUCUGUGCUUGAGGCAGGGGUGUGUGGACUGGGAGUCCUUCUUUUACUCUGGGUGGGGCCUCAUGCUCAGAGGGAGCUCUGUCUACCCCCACCACAAACCUGCAGUUUCCCUGCUACAGCGAUGGCAACCUCAGCCACCUGGCUGCCCAGGCCCCCAACCUGGGUUCUCCCUCUUGUUCCCAUGGUCAGCCCAUCAGCAAACUCAUCCACAUGUCCAAGGGUCCACCCCCACUACCCUGCCCUGCCCUGGUCCAGCUAGGAUGUUUGCAGUCGUCUCCUCAUUGGUCUCCCUGCCUCCUCUCUCGCCUUCCUAAGCCAGAGGAAUUCUGUAAGAGCUCAAGUUAGAUCCUAUCCCUUCUCUGCUCAGAACCCUCUAUGGCUCCCAACUCACUCAGAGCAGAAGCCCACAGGGCCUGCAGGAUCUCUGCCCUGGCCCCGCCUGACCUCACUGCCUCUCCCUUCUCUGUUCACCCACAGCCACGGUGGCCUCAUCUCUCUGCCAUAAACUUGCCAAUUAUCCUGCUGCUGCCUCAUUGACUUCGCACCCACUCUUCCCUCUGGAACAGAGGACACUCUCGCCAGCUCUCCCCAUGGCGGAUCCUUGUCUAGGGUCAGGCCUCUGCUCCAAAGUCACCCCUGGGGACACCUUCUCUGACCAGCCCCUCAUUCCUAUGGCCUCAUGCUGUUUUUAUUUCUUCCUAGGACUUAGCACGUAUCCUAGAAAUUAACCUGCUGGUAUAUCCUGUUUCUUGUCUGUCUCUUUCCAGUGGAAUGUCACCAUCGCCCAGGUGGGGAUUUUUGUGUGUUUUGUUCACUGCUGUACACCCAGCCCCCAGCACAGCGCCUGUCCAGGACAAGUGCCCAGUAAACACUUGGGAAGCAAUGCAAGCGUGCGUGCAUGGAUAAGUAUUUCUUUGGCAGAUGAGGGGGCUAAGGUUCAGAGAAGGCCCUGGGGGUCUCAGACUCAUAGCCCAGUGCUCUUUCUGCUGACACGCCCUGGUCUCUGGGGCAGUUUGUUGCCUGUUCAGCAACAAAGAGGGUGUGCCUCGUUAGGGGUCCUGCGUGCGAAUCGCAGUCCCUGCGUGUCUUGGCUGGAGGUCACCACCCUCUCUGCUCCAGGGCCUGUAAUUACCACUUACCCUGGUCAAUGGGUCCGAGAGAUUACCCUUGUAGGCAGGGCUGUGGCCAGGGUGCUCACCUGGCCCCCAGCAGGUCCCAUGGGCACUGUCUGGCCGGGCUUCAUGGCUGACAUUCCAGGUCCUCCCAGCAGCUCCUGCAAACAGACCCCCGACCCAAGCCCUUCCUUCUGCCUCCACUGCCACCACUGCUGCUCAUCUCUGCUGGCACAGAAGUCUCUUCCCUGGUCUUCCAGAAAUCCCCUCUCCACACUCAGCCAGAGGGAGCUAUUAAAACUGUGGGCCAGCCCACAUCAGUCCACAGCAAAGUCCUCUCUAAGGGAUCUCUGUUGCUUGGAGAAUAAACCCUCGGAUUCCUUCCUUGG
This 1857-nucleotide long non-coding RNA is filed under the name Homo sapiens (human). RNAcentral's name for it is "HSALNT0401654". Lineage: Eukaryota; Metazoa; Chordata; Mammalia; Primates; Hominidae. The record is from RNAcentral.